UACAGAGGGUGCGAGCGUUGUUCGGAAUUAUUGGGCGUAAAGCGCAAGUAGGCGGCCCUGUAAGUCGCGUGUGAAAGCUCCCGGCUCAACCGGGAAAGUGCGCGCGAAACUGCAGGGCUUGAGUCCCGGAGAGGGUGGCGGAAUUCCCGGUGUAGAGGUGAAAUUCGUAGAUAUCGGGAGGAACACCAGAGGCGAAGGCGGCCACCUGGAAGGGUACUGACGCUGAGAGGCGAAAGCGUGGGGAGCAAACAGG
RNAcentral lists this unclassified non-coding RNA (253 nucleotides) under uncultured Archangiaceae bacterium. RNAcentral's name for it is "contains 16S-23S intergenic spacer region". It matches the Rfam family "Bacterial small subunit ribosomal RNA", at positions 524 to 776 of the family's 1533-position model. Lineage: Bacteria; Pseudomonadati; Myxococcota; Myxococcia; Myxococcales; Archangiaceae. The record is from RNAcentral.